This 435-nucleotide ribosomal RNA is filed under the name Triticum aestivum (bread wheat). Its description in RNAcentral is "partial small subunit ribosomal RNA". The record is from RNAcentral. Lineage: Eukaryota; Viridiplantae; Streptophyta; Magnoliopsida; Poales; Poaceae.
AUGGAGGAUGUCGAAGGGUUGAUGAGAGGUUUGAAACUUUCGGUAGCGGAGAGAAGGGGAAUGAAGGUCGGACAGGCAAAGAAGGGGAAGGCGUAUGACUGGGCACCUGAUGAUCCCCAGGCGGUGGGGAAGCUGUUCUCGGAGAAGCUAGCACAUGUAGGAGUGGUAGGGCAAACACUGGGUAGAAUCUGGUGCCCCAUCAAAGGCCUGCAGUGCAAAGAACUGGAGUCCAACAUCUUCUUGUUUACCUUUCGGCAGGCGUCGGGGUGGAGGCGUGAUCUUGAGGAGGGACCCUGGUGGUUUGACAAGGAACUGCUCAUCAUGGAAGAAUUUGAUCCGGAAAAGACAGUGGAUGAGUAUGAAUUUAAGCUUAUCCCCUUGUGGAUCCGUGUCUUUGGGCUGCCUCUUGGUUAUAUGAAUAGACUCACAGGAGAA